GCCCCUGUAGUUCAGUGGAUAGAGCGCCCGUUUCUUAAGUAGGAAGUUGUAGGUUCGAUCCCUACUUGGUGUG
Molecule: transfer RNA, 73 nt
Filed under: Nelumbo nucifera (sacred lotus)
Lineage: Eukaryota; Viridiplantae; Streptophyta; Magnoliopsida; Proteales; Nelumbonaceae
Rfam family: tRNA
About the family: Transfer RNA (tRNA) molecules are approximately 80 nucleotides in length. Their secondary structure includes four short double-helical elements and three loops (D, anti-codon, and T loops). Further hydrogen bonds mediate the characteristic L-shaped molecular structure. tRNAs have two regions of fundamental functional importance: the anti-codon, which is responsible for specific mRNA codon recognition, and the 3' end, to which the tRNAs corresponding amino acid is attached (by aminoacyl-tRNA synthetases). tRNAs cope with the degeneracy of the genetic code in two manners: having more than one tRNA (with a specific anti-codon) for a particular amino acid; and 'wobble' base-pairing, i.e. permitting non-standard base-pairing at the 3rd anti-codon position.
Source: Rfam by way of RNAcentral